RNAcentral lists this ribosomal RNA (714 nucleotides) under Pontibacillus chungwhensis. RNAcentral describes it as "bacterial SSU rRNA". It matches the Rfam family "Bacterial small subunit ribosomal RNA", at positions 82 to 782 of the family's 1533-position model. Lineage: Bacteria; Bacillati; Bacillota; Bacilli; Caryophanales; Bacillaceae. The record is from RNAcentral.
UGUUGUGGAUCGAGCGGCGGACGGGUGAGUAACACGUGGGCAACCUACCCAUGAGAUCGGGAUAACUCCGGGAAACCGGAGCUAAUACCGAAUAACCCAGUGAACUGCAUGGUUCACUGGUAAAAGGCGGUUUCGGCCGUCACUCAUGGAUGGGCCCGCGGCGCAUUAGCUAGUUGGUAAGGUAACGGCUUACCAAGGCAACGAUGCGUAGCCGACCUGAGAGGGUGAUCGGCCACACUGGGACUGAGACACGGCCCAGACUCCUACGGGAGGCAGCAGUAGGGAAUCUUCCGCAAUGGACGAAAGUCUGACGGAGCAACGCCGCGUGAACGAUGAAGGUCUUCGGAUCGUAAAGUUCUGUUGUUGGGGAAGAACAAGUGCCAGAGGAAAUGCUGGUACCUUGACGGUACCCAACCAGAAAGCCACGGCUAACUACGUGCCAGCAGCCGCGGUAAUACGUAGGUGGCAAGCGUUGUCCGGAAUUAUUGGGCGUAAAGCGCGCGCAGGCGGUUCCUUAAGUCUGAUGUGAAAGCCCACAGCUCAACUGUGGAGGGCCAUUGGAAACUGGGGAACUUGAGUACAGAAGAGGAGAGUGGAAUUCCACGUGUAGCGGUGAAAUGCGUAGAGAUGUGGAGGAACACCAGUGGCGAAGGCGACUCUCUGGUCUGUAACUGACGCUGAGGCGCGAAAGCGUGGGUAGCAAACAGGAUUAGG